RNAcentral lists this unclassified non-coding RNA (335 nucleotides) under fungal sp. Its description in RNAcentral is "partial internal transcribed spacer region". The stretch from base 1 to 46 matches the Rfam family "Eukaryotic small subunit ribosomal RNA", at positions 1786 to 1831 of the family's 1831-position model. Lineage: Eukaryota; Fungi. The record is from RNAcentral.
AAGUCGUAACAAGGUUUCCGUAGGUGAACCUGCGGGAAGAUCAUUCGUAUCUAACACUUUGUUAUAACAAAUACAAACCAAUUGUGAACUGUUACGUCCCUAUCCAUGAAGUUAUAGAUUGGUGACGAUCAAUCUAUAAUGAAUUGCGGUAGACAAUACCCUCUUUUACCAGUAGUUGACUACUUCUUCUGAAGUAGCUCAGCGAAGAUAUUCACCAAUUUUACUCUAUAACUAAAACCUGACUAAUCUCUUAAACCUUUAUGGACGGCUUAACAGCUGUUAAUAAAGAUUUACGAAACAAUGAACAACUCCUAGCAAUGGAUAUCUUGGGUCAU